This 1803-nucleotide ribosomal RNA is filed under the name Escherichia coli. Its description in RNAcentral is "partial 23S ribosomal RNA". It matches the Rfam family "Bacterial large subunit ribosomal RNA", at positions 1049 to 2831 of the family's 2925-position model. Lineage: Bacteria; Pseudomonadati; Pseudomonadota; Gammaproteobacteria; Enterobacterales; Enterobacteriaceae. The record is from RNAcentral.
AAAGUCAUGGUUAAGUGGGAAACGAUGUGGGAAGGCCCAGACAGCCAGGAUGUUGGCUUAGAAGCAGCCAUCAUUUAAAGAAAGCGUAAUAGCUCACUGGUCGAGUCGGCCUGCGCGGAAGAUGUAACGGGGCUAAACCAUGCACCGAAGCUGCGGCAGCGACACUAUGUGUUGUUGGGUAGGGGAGCGUUCUGUAAGCCUGUGAAGGUGUACUGUGAGGUAUGCUGGAGGUAUCAGAAGUGCGAAUGCUGACAUAAGUAACGAUAAAGCGGGUGAAAAGCCCGCUCGCCGGAAGACCAAGGGUUCCUGUCCAACGUUAAUCGGGGCAGGGUGAGUCGACCCCUAAGGCGAGGCCGAAAGGCGUAGUCGAUGGGAAACAGGUUAAUAUUCCUGUACUUGGUGUUACUGCGAAGGGGGGACGGAGAAGGCUAUGUUGGCCGGGCGACGGUUGUCCCGGUUUAAGCGUGUAGGCUGAUUUUCCAGGCAAAUCCGGAAAAUCAAGGCUGAGGCGUGAUGACGAGGCACUACGGUGCUGAAGCAACAAAUGCCCUGCUUCCAGGAAAAGCCUCUAAGCAUCAGGUAACAUCAAAUCGUACCCCAAACCGACACAGGUGGUCAGGUAGAGAAUACCAAGGCGCUUGAGAGAACUCGGGUGAAGGAACUAGGCAAAAUGGUGCCGUAACUUCGGGAGAAGGCACGCUGAUAUGUAGGUGAAGCGACUUGCUCGUGGAGCUGAAAUCAGUCGAAGAUACCAGCUGGCUGCAACUGUUUAUUAAAAACACAGCACUGUGCAAACACGAAAGUGGACGUAUACGGUGUGACGCCUGCCCGGUGCCGGAAGGUUAAUUGAUGGGGUUAGCGGUAACGCGAAGCUCUUGAUCGAAGCCCCGGUAAACGGCGGCCGUAACUAUAACGGUCCUAAGGUAGCGAAAUUCCUUGUCGGGUAAGUUCCGACCUGCACGAAUGGCGUAAUGAUGGCCAGGCUGUCUCCACCCGAGACUCAGUGAAAUUGAACUCGCUGUGAAGAUGCAGUGUACCCGCGGCAAGACGGAAAGACCCCGUGAACCUUUACUAUAGCUUGACACUGAACAUUGAGCCUUGAUGUGUAGGAUAGGUGGGAGGCUUUGAAGUGUGGACGCCAGUCUGCAUGGAGCCGACCUUGAAAUACCACCCUUUAAUGUUUGAUGUUCUAACGUUGGCCCGUUAUCCGGGUUGCGGACAGUGUCUGGUGGGUAGUUUGACUGGGGCGGUCUCCUCCUAAAGAGUAACGGAGGAGCACGAAGGUUGGCUAAUCCUGGUCGGACAUCAGGAGGUUAGUGCAAUGGCAUAAGCCAGCUUGACUGCGAGCGUGACGGCGCGAGCAGGUGCGAAAGCAGGUCAUAGUGAUCCGGUGGUUCUGAAUGGAAGGGCCAUCGCUCAACGGAUAAAAGGUACUCCGGGGAUAACAGGCUGAUACCGCCCAAGAGUUCAUAUCGACGGCGGUGUUUGGCACCUCGAUGUCGGCUCAUCACAUCCUGGGGCUGAAGUAGGUCCCAAGGGUAUGGCUGUUCGCCAUUUAAAGUGGUACGCGAGCUGGGUUUAGAACGUCGUGAGACAGUUCGGUCCCUAUCUGCCGUGGGCGCUGGAGAACUGAGGGGGGCUGCUCCUAGUACGAGAGGACCGGAGUGGACGCAUCACUGGUGUUCGGGUUGUCAUGCCAAUGGCACUGCCCGGUAGCUAAAUGCGGAAGAGAUAAGUGCUGAAAGCAUCUAAGCACGAAACUUGCCCCGAGAUGAGUUCUCCCUGACUCCUUGAGAGUCCUGA